AUAUAUAAAAUCGUCGUCUCCUUUCCUCAGCUAACCCUUACUCUCUCUCUCUUUCUCUCUCGCACCAGCAACCGCAAUACAAACAAGCAAUUUAGGCCAGGCCACGUCUAUAGCUAGAUUUGGCUUGGUUCGUUCUCUGAUUAUUCUCUCUUAUACUUCUCCGAUUAAGAACUUGUAGAAAAUGGCCGAUUCUGAGGAUAUUCAGCCCCUUGUCUGCGACAAUGGAACUGGAAUGGUGAAGGCUGGGUUUGCUGGGGAUGAUGCUCCCAGGGCAGUGUUUCCAAGUAUUGUGGGUAGACCAAGACACACUGGUGUCAUGGUUGGAAUGGGGCAGAAGGAUGCUUAUGUUGGUGACGAAGCACAAUCUAAGAGAGGUAUCUUGACCUUGAAAUACCCUAUUGAGCAUGGUAUUGUUAGCAACUGGGAUGAUAUGGAGAAGAUUUGGCAUCACACUUUCUACAAUGAGCUUCGUGUUGCUCCUGAGGAGCACCCAGUCCUCCUUACAGAGGCUCCUCUUAACCCUAAGGCUAACAGAGAGAAGAUGACUCAAAUCAUGUUUGAGACCUUCAAUGUGCCUGCAAUGUAUGUUGCUAUCCAGGCUGUCCUUUCCCUGUAUGCCAGUGGUCGUACAACUGGUAUUGUGCUGGAUUCUGGUGAUGGUGUGUCUCACACUGUGCCCAUCUAUGAAGGGUAUGCCCUUCCACAUGCCAUCCUUCGUUUGGAUCUUGCUGGUCGUGAUCUCACUGAUGCUUUGAUGAAGAUCCUCACCGAGAGAGGUUACAUGUUCACCACCACUGCUGAACGGGAAAUUGUCCGUGACAUGAAGGAGAAACUUGCAUAUGUUGCCCUUGACUAUGAGCAGGAGCUUGAGACUGCCAAGAGUAGCUCCUCUGUUGAGAAGAACUAUGAGCUACCUGAUGGUCAGGUCAUCACCAUUGGAGCUGAGAGAUUCCGUUGCCCAGAAGUCCUCUUCCAGCCAUCUCUCAUCGGAAUGGAAGCUGCUGGUAUCCACGAGACUACUUACAAUUCUAUCAUGAAGUGUGAUGUGGAUAUCAGAAAGGAUCUAUAUGGUAAUAUUGUGCUCAGUGGUGGUUCCACUAUGUUCCCUGGUAUUGCUGACCGUAUGAGCAAGGAAAUCACUGCCCUUGCCCCAAGCAGCAUGAAGAUUAAGGUUGUUGCACCACCAGAGAGAAAAUACAGUGUCUGGAUUGGAGGGUCAAUCCUUGCAUCUCUCAGCACCUUCCAGCAGAUGUGGAUUUCCAAGGGUGAGUACGACGAGUCUGGCCCAUCCAUCGUCCACAGGAAGUGCUUCUAAGUUCCGAACAGUGCGGUGAUGUUCUACAGAGCUUGGAUACAGCAUGGGCAAUAUUGAACUCUUAUAAAGUGUGUGAUCCGGUUCUUCAUAAAUUCAUAGAACUUGCCAGAAGGUUCUUCGCGUUCUUCUCCAAAAUCUUACACCAUCAAUUCCCUUGAAGCAGCAAAGCAUCUUAUAAAGACAAAUCAAACCCUAAAGAUGCCCUGAGGGAUCAACAUUUUGAACAAUCCAGGGAUGCUCAGGUAGCUUAUGCAGCGGUGAUCUCUCUACAGAAUCCCUGGCAAGCAUCUAUUGAUCAAAAAGAGAAAAAAAAACAAGAGAACAUGAGUGCAGAUCGCAAGCACGCUAGGCUCCCUGAGUAGUAAGGUCCUUUGCAGCAGAAGAGACAAAUGGUUUUGGAGGGAACUUCAGAUCCAUUAGCACAAUCCUAUAGAUAAGGACUGUGUGUUCUACUGACUUGUUGCUUCUGCAAUCAACUGCUGCUGAACUUUUUGUCUAUUGCUGCUGCUGCUGGCGCUCCAAGCUGCGACUGCUGGAGACUUUCUGUCACGUGAAAAGCUACUGCUUAAUUUGUUUGUUUAUUUCUGCUGGAACUGAAGCUGGAAUCAAUGACUGCUGCAACUGAUUUUUCUACUACUUCAGUGGAGACUCUAUUGCUAUGAGUCUGCAGCCCACGUGAUUCUGCAACUGUAAUUUCCUACAACUGCAACGUUGCUACUGUCAUGUUCUAGGAGACUUGCUGCUGCCUCGAGUCUGUUACAAGCUGCUGAUUUUCUUCUUCCAAAGACCAAAUCGUUGCUGGUUCGUUUUCUUCACAACGUAGAAUGCUGUUACGUCUUGUGCUCCAAGCUUCUGAAAAAUAAAUCUUGUUAUCGUCAUCGUUUUGGAAGACUAAUUUGCUAAAGACACUGCUGCUUCACAUGCGCCUUUUCUUCUUCCCAACCUAUUGGUCCUUCUUUCCAACCUAUAGGCUCUGAUACGUUGGUUUUGCUCUAAGAAAAACACAGCAGCUAAUACUUUCUCUUUAUUAUUUUCUUAUACUUUCUUGAAUAUAAUUUUGAAUGUUUAAGGUGACUAUA
This is an RNA transcript of Populus trichocarpa (black cottonwood), 2394 nucleotides long. It is a transcript of the gene named actin-7, with no coding region annotated. Lineage: Eukaryota; Viridiplantae; Streptophyta; Magnoliopsida; Malpighiales; Salicaceae. The transcript has 7 exons. The record is from RefSeq and is a predicted model, not a curated record.